ACACAGCACUGUGCAAACACGAAAGUGGACGUAUACGGUGUGACGCCUGCCCGGUGCCGGAAGGUUAAAUGAUGGGGUUAUCUUCGGAGAAGCUCUUGAUUGAAGCCCCGGUAAACGGCGGCCGUAACAAUAACGGUCCUAAGGUAGCGAAAUUCCUUGUCGGGUAAGUUCCGACCUGCACGAAUGGUGUAACGACUUGGGCACUGUCUCGGCCAUGAGCUCGGUGAAAUUGUGGUAUCGGUGAUGACGCCGAUUACCCGCAGCGGGACGAAAAGACCCCGUGAACCUUUACUACAACUUUACAUUGGCUUUAGCUGUCGCAUGUGUAGGAUAGGCGGGAGACUUUGAAGCGGCGUCGCCAGGCGUUGUGGAGUCACCCUUGAAAUACCGCCCUUGCCACAGGUGAAGUCUAACCCUUCCGGGGGAACAGUGUAUGGUGGGUAGUUUGACUGGGGCGGUCGCCUCCUAAAGAGUAACGGAGGCUCCCAAAGGUACCCUCAGCACGGAUGGCAAUCGUGCGUAGAGUGUAAAAGCAUAAGGGUGCUUGACUGCGAGACAUACAGGUCGAGCAGGCACGAAAGUGGGGUUUAGUGAUCCGGUGGCACCGCAUGGAAGGGCCAUCGCUCAAAGGAUAAAAGGUACUCCGGGGAUAACAGGCUGAUACCGCCCAAGAGUUCACAUCGACGGCGGUGUUUGGCACCUCGAUGUCGGCUCAUCACAUCCUGGGGCUGAAGCCGGUCCCAAGGGUAUGGCUGUUCGCCAUUUAAAGUGGUACGCGAGCUGGGUUUAGAACGUCGUGAGACAGUUCGGUCCCUAUCUGCCGUGGGUGUAGGAAUAUUGAUAGGAUCUGUCCCUAGUACGAGAGGACCGGGAUGGACGUAUCUCUGGUGGACCUGUUGUCGUGCCAACGGCAUAGCAGGGUAGCUAUAUACGGAAUGGAUAACCGCUGAAGGCAUCUAAGCGGGAAACCAACCUAAAAACGAGUAUUCCCUGAGAGUCGUGGAAGACUACCACGUUGAUAGGCUGGGUGUGGA
This 1034-nucleotide ribosomal RNA is filed under the name Thalassiosira antarctica. RNAcentral's name for it is "partial Bacterial large subunit ribosomal RNA". It matches the Rfam family "Bacterial large subunit ribosomal RNA", at positions 1813 to 2871 of the family's 2925-position model. The record is from RNAcentral. Lineage: Eukaryota; Bacillariophyta; Thalassiosirophyceae; Thalassiosirales; Thalassiosiraceae.